UCAGGAGCUGAUCUCACCCGCAACAAGCUGCCUUCAGAACCUUCUCACCAGAUUGAAUAGCCUUUCACAUAUUGCAGGCUGCUUCCUAAGCUAAACUAGUCAAGAUGAUGAUCAAAAUAGCUGUUGUUCUCUGUGCUAUUGUGGCAACCAGUAUGGUGUGCGCCAAGAAUUUUGAAGAGCAAGAAGAGCAAGAUGCAUUGGACGCUUUGCUGAAUCUGAUGCUCUCGGAGGAAGUUGCAUCUCCUGAUGCUGUGGCCUUGCAAGGCUCCCUCUCGGAGGAGGCUGCAUCUCCUGAUGACGCGGUAGCCUUGCAAGGCUUGAUCAGGCGAGCCCUCAAAUUUGGAGGUCGUGUAGUUCGUAAGAUAGCCCAUCGCCAUGAUCAUCCCCAUGAUCAGUGAAGAGGAUCUUAAAUCGAUAUGCGCUGGUGCACAAGCCCUUUUCCGAUAGACUCGGAAGGGACCAGGAGGCACUAUCCGGGACACUUGAUGUCGAUUCUCCCUCAACAAACAAUGAAAUAAAAGCAAGAAAUUGUCAACGUCCAUCGUUUUUUUGCAACUUCCUUAUAAUCAGAAUCUUCUUUAUAACUCCUUUAACCUUGUUACUCCUCUAAAAUAAAAGAUGUGAGUGGUUUUUAUUAUCAAUACAUAUUUUACCUUUACUUCCAUGGAUCCAUUCAUUAUACAUCUUUCCAAGGUGUAUACAAAUAUGUAGGGUUAAAAGUACAACUAUUCUUAAAAUAUAGCAUAAUAAUACAUCUUUUCAUCAUAAGCUUCAAGUUAAAAAUCUUCUCUCGGUUUUGCUCUUUUUUCGCCCUAAAAAACAAUAAGACAUUUUAAGCAUGGUAUUAGGGGAAUAACUAAUAGUAUUAGAAAUAAUGCCGAUAAUAAAAUCACAUGAACAUGACAAACA
RNAcentral lists this long non-coding RNA (909 nucleotides) under Strongylocentrotus purpuratus (purple sea urchin). RNAcentral describes it as "uncharacterized LOC115922886". The record is from RNAcentral. Lineage: Eukaryota; Metazoa; Echinodermata; Echinoidea; Camarodonta; Strongylocentrotidae.